AAGGAAGUGGCAGAGUGGCCAUGUGGUUGGCUUGAAACCAUCUCACGGGGGUUCAAUUCCUCCCUUUCUUG
Molecule: transfer RNA, 71 nt
Filed under: Dussumieria elopsoides (slender rainbow sardine)
Lineage: Eukaryota; Metazoa; Chordata; Actinopteri; Clupeiformes; Dussumieriidae
Description: tRNA-Ser
Rfam family: tRNA
About the family: Transfer RNA (tRNA) molecules are approximately 80 nucleotides in length.
Source: RNAcentral